Gopherus flavomarginatus (Mexican gopher tortoise) is the source of this 71-nucleotide non-coding RNA. NCBI's taxonomy places the organism in Eukaryota, Metazoa, Chordata, Testudines, Testudinidae. The record is from the annotation of a RefSeq genome assembly.
GGGGCAUAGCUCAGUGGUAGAGUGUUUGACUCCAAAUCAAGUUGUUCUUGGUUCAAAUCCAAAUGCUACCU